CUAAGCACCCCAAGACGCAGCGCACCCUUAACCCCCACAAUGGCCACCUCCGGCCCUCCCGGCGGUGGGCUGGGCUUGGCGCACAGUCGCGUCAUUUGACGAGCGGCUGCUUGGAGUUUUGAAGCCGACCGGGCUUUGCUUUUGUAGAAACUUUUUUUUUUGUGUGUGUUACCCUCCCCGGCAAUACUUAUUAACUUUUGCCUACCUCGGUAAAGCACUGGGAAUGAGUCGAAAACAGGGCCGGGGUAAAGUCCGGAGCUCGGAGAGACUCAAAGGAAAGAGCUCCCAUGCUUCACUCAGCACAGCAGUGGAAAGUUCAGUUCAGGCUCCCUUGAAGAAGACUGAAUCCCAUCGUUCUGUCAAACGGCAGAAAUGUGAAGUGCCUGAACCGCAGCCAGAAACGUCGGCAGAUGUCCCCGAAGACGUCGGUGGCCUGUCGGGAGGAACAGCCCAGGAGCAGGGCGUCAAUGGGAGUUCUGCAAGGGAGCUCGGCACGGCGAGAGGCACACAGAGCCAUCUCCCCGAGGCAGAGGAGAUGAGCCCCACAGGAGCCAGCGAGUGCCGGACUUUGGAGUCUGAAUCCGGUGUUGCGAUGAACUCGAGUGCGGAGAGAGCAGUUGAUAAUUGUGUGCCAAAGCUGGAGCUCCAAAUGGACAACAGUGUUUUCCUGGACGAGGACAGUAACCAGCCAAUGCCAGUGGGCCAGUUCUUUGGGAAUAUAGAACUUGUACAGGACGAUCCUCCCAGAGCUCCAGCAACAGUCCCAAUGAGCCGGAGGGAGUACAGGAGGCUACACUUCAUUGCUAAAGACGACGAGGAUGACCUCUACGAAGACAGCCACGUGGAACAGCCUCAGCAGAAUGAAUCUCCCCUUCCAGAAAGUUGCAACACUACCAUACAAUCAGGAAGCUACAUAAGCAAUGGGAGCAGAUGAGAGAG
Long non-coding RNA from Lepisosteus oculatus (spotted gar), 939 nucleotides. Lineage: Eukaryota; Metazoa; Chordata; Actinopteri; Semionotiformes; Lepisosteidae. The record is from Ensembl.